GCAUAUCAAUAAGCGGAGGAAAAGAAACCAACAGGGAUUGCCUUAGUAACGGCGAGUGAAGCGGCAACAGCUCAAAUUUGAAAUCUGGCCCUCGGGUCCGAAUUGUAAUUUGUAGAGGAUGCUUUUGGUGCGGUGCCUUCUGAGUUCCUUGGAACAGGACGCCUUAGAGGGUGAGAGCCCCGUACAGUUGGACACCAAGCCUUUGUAAAGCUCCUUCGACGAGUCGAGUAGUUUGGGAAUGCUGCUCUAAAUGGGAGGUAAAUUUCUUCUAAAGCUAAAUAUUGGCCAGAGACCGAUAGCGCACAAGUAGAGUGAUCGAAAGAUGAAAAGUACUCUGAAAAGAGGGUUAAAUAGCACGUGAAAUUGUUGAAAGGGAAGCGUUUAUGACCAGACCUUCGUCGGGCGGAUCAUCCGGUGUUCUUCACCGGUGCACUUCGCCCGGCUUAGGCCAGCAUCGGUUUUCGUAGGGGGAUAAAGGCCUAGGGAAUGUGGCUCCCUCCGGGGAGUGUUAUAGCCCUGGGCGUAAUACCUUUAUGGGGACCGAGGUUCGCGCUCCGGCAAGGAUGCUGGCGUAAUGGUCAUCAACGACCCGUCUUGAAACACGGACC
RNAcentral lists this ribosomal RNA (608 nucleotides) under uncultured fungus. Its description in RNAcentral is "LSU rRNA". It matches the Rfam family "Eukaryotic large subunit ribosomal RNA", at positions 38 to 667 of the family's 3401-position model. Lineage: Eukaryota; Fungi. The record is from RNAcentral.